GACUUGGGGCAGAGUUGUACAAAAGGAUGGAAAAGAAAAUCAGCAUAGUUUUCAUGAUGUGCAGACAGACCUCUGUGAUGUGUUCUAGCUUGUUUUAGGAAGCAGGGGGAAGUUUUCAAGUGAAGUACAGACAUACUGUACUAAAACAUGCAUUUACUUCAUUUAGUUGUGUGUAGUUUCUUCAGGUCUUCAGGAUUAAUUAUAUGUUUUGGUGCAGUAGAAUAGGUAUUAGGGAUAAUUUAUGCUUACACUACUUUUGGUAUAGCUUUGCUUCUGCAGUCAGUAAUUUGGGUUCCUUGCAGACCAUUUAUUAACUUAAUUUGUUAUAAAUGAUUUACACAGAAAUAAUGAGGUUUCAUACAUUUUACCAGGAGUACAUUUGAACUGUCACUUUCAGCAAAACACUUUCAUGGCCAGUGGUAUCCUGGUAUUUUGUUACGUUCUGUUGCUCCUGGGAUUAAAUGUUCUCAUAAACCUACACAACCUGUUCUGCACAGCGUCUUAGGUUGUUAUCAUUCAUUGUGCUAUACUGGCAUGUUUGUUUCUUUAUGUUCCAGCCUGCAGUACAUUAACCAGUUGAGAAUUUCAUCAUGUUUCAAAUAAAAAAAAAUUUCAUCCUGAAAAGAAGAAAAGAAGUUAGCCUUAUUUCAUACUGUCCAGACCCUCAACGGCCUUGUUAAAGUCAGGUGCACUGGUUUUGUUGAAUAAUGGUGAAUAAGAAGCAGGAUGACAAGUUUUUCCUGACACAAAACUGACUCCCUCCAGAUAUUCUCUUUCAUCAGGACUCACCUUCGAGUUCACACUUACCAUGUGAAGAGAGAUCACGUCCAUAUUGCCAGCUUGGUACCACGCGAGUCUGUAGUCUCCUUGUGUCAGAGCCGACACACAGCGUCUGACACACGGAGAUACAUAGAUGCACAGAGAAACACACAUGUGGUGAUUCAUGAACUGGAAAUCUGGCUCAAACCCCACAAACCAGCCUCACGAGGUGGAGUAUAUAAUCCAUGGGGGAAGAAUUCGUUUAUUGAGGAGCUGCAGGGUGGAGCCUACUGUGAAGAAUAUAUGUCUAAAUAAGAAAGCUUACACUGUAGACUGUGGCUGUGAAAAGUUCCUCCACUCUGGGGCAAAUUCAUGACAGUCAAGCACUGACUGAAGGAGAAGAGGGUUCUGUCGACGAGCUGAUGAGGCGGGCCUGCUUGAGGGCUGAUUGAAGACAGCUGGAGAGACUCAGGUCUCUGCCAGGGAGGCAGGUAUGACAUAAAGCCACUGGUGAAGCUGGUUUGAGGGGUUUGGGCCAGAUUUCCAGAGUGACAACCCGUCUCAUCUGGGACCAAGUUGGUGAUACAGACGUGUUCUCUCUCUUCACCUGGUGAACGUGAACGCAAAG
Long non-coding RNA from Scatophagus argus, 1387 nucleotides. RefSeq lists it as uncharacterized. The transcript is spliced from 6 exons. The record is from RefSeq and is a predicted model, not a curated record. Lineage: Eukaryota; Metazoa; Chordata; Actinopteri; Scatophagidae.